GUGGGGAAUUUUGGACAAUAGGCGCAAGCCUGAUCUAGCAAUGCCGCGUGCAGGAAGAAGGCCUUCGGGUUGUAAACUGCUUUUGUACGGAACGAAAAGGCUCUGGUUAAUACCUGGGGCUCAUGACGGUACCGUAAGAAUAAGCACCGGCUAACUACGUGCCAGCAGCCGCGGUAAUACGUAGGGUGCAAGCGUUAAUCGGAAUUACUGGGCGUAAAGCGUGCGCAGGCGGUUUUGUAAGACAGGCGUGAAAUCCCCGGGCUCAACCUGGGAAUGGCGCUUGUGACUGCAAAGCUGGAGUGCGGCAGAGGGGGAUGGAAUUCCGCGUGUAGCAGUGAAAUGCGUAGAUAUGCGGAGGAACACCGAUGGCGAAGGCAAUCCCCUGGGCCUGCACUGACGCUCAUGCACGAAAGCGUGGGGAGCAAACAGGAUUAGAUACCCGUGUAGUCC
RNAcentral lists this ribosomal RNA (450 nucleotides) under uncultured bacterium. RNAcentral's name for it is "partial 16S ribosomal RNA". It matches the Rfam family "Bacterial small subunit ribosomal RNA", at positions 354 to 796 of the family's 1533-position model. The record is from RNAcentral.